GCGGGCGUAGCUCAAGUGGUAGAGCAACCGACAAUACAAAGUGUGUCAUGGUAUGACACCAACAGCAAUUUCUUUGGAAAAAUCAGUUUGUUGGAGGUUCGAGUCCUCCCGCCCGCA
RNAcentral lists this transfer RNA (117 nucleotides) under Oscillospiraceae bacterium. RNAcentral's name for it is "tRNA-OTHER". It matches the Rfam family "tRNA". Rfam says of the family: Transfer RNA (tRNA) molecules are approximately 80 nucleotides in length. Their secondary structure includes four short double-helical elements and three loops (D, anti-codon, and T loops). RNAcentral also lists the same sequence under 1 other name. The record is from RNAcentral. Lineage: Bacteria; Bacillati; Bacillota; Clostridia; Eubacteriales; Oscillospiraceae.